GUUUAACUAAGGAUCUGAGAGCAGUACUUCUAACAGACAAGGUGAGGGCUCUAUUCUUUUCCCCUUUCAAGACCCAAAGGUUGUGCCCUGUGAAUAUUUGGGUACAUAGGUGAGAUGAGUCGGAAUGGUUCAUAACAGCUUUCUCACAUUUAUUUCAAAACUGUUACAGGUUUCGUACCUCUCUCUGAGCAGAAAAAAAGAACCUGUUGUGCAAUGUGGCCACAGCUCCACUGACAUCAGAAAAGGAGACUACUCUUCCACAACAAGAGUGAAAGAACCAUAGCUUAAAGGGGAAACAAAGCCAGCUAUUAGCCUCCAGAUGCAAAGGCAGCUCUCAUUACAUAAUGAAGAAAUCUCCCUAAUUUGAUCCAUAAAGAGUCAGCCACUGUGUAAGCAACUGCUACACAAAUCAGCCCCUGGGACUAAAAGAAUCACAGGUGUGGCAAUCAGCAGCUAAAAGGAACUGAAGCAGAACAACCUGAAGUAGUAGUAUAAGGACACUUCUGCCCAUCUGCCUGGAUCUUCAGGGAGGCAAGGUCCGUAAGCAGUGACGUACUAUGUCAACAUUGGAAGUUUGAAGGCCUUCCAAGAGCAGCCCUUCCAGAGACUGCUGCAACAUAGCUGUUAUUCCAGCUAUACGCUACAAAAAAGGAGAGAGAGAAUAAAAAAAGAGCAUUGCCCUCUUUACAGGAGUUAUGUGCAAGAAAAUUUACCAACAUCAACACACGUUUUUUAAAUUAAAAUGUGUACAUUCAGAAUUGUAGUAACAUUAAAAUCCAAUGAUUAAAAUAAA
Molecule: long non-coding RNA, 793 nt
Organism: Mauremys mutica (yellowpond turtle)
Lineage: Eukaryota; Metazoa; Chordata; Testudines; Geoemydidae
Exons: 2
Source: RefSeq, a predicted model, not a curated record